Molecule: long non-coding RNA, 375 nt
Filed under: Musa acuminata (dwarf banana)
Lineage: Eukaryota; Viridiplantae; Streptophyta; Magnoliopsida; Zingiberales; Musaceae
Description: long non-coding RNA (MACU_LNC000927)
Source: RNAcentral
UCGAUUAUUGCUCCUCAAAUAGAGAUUAAUGUUCCUACUCCCAAGAGUAACCAAAGGUAAUAAUGGUUAUUUUGAAGUAGAGCUGUGAAUUUUAACACAUACACACACACACACAACAUAUGUGCCAAGUAGAUGCCCAGUACCAUGACAUUUGUUCUAUGUCUAACACAAAUGGAUAUAUGAAUCAUACCGUAGAUGUAUUGUUGCGUAUUCAUUAAAUGAUCAGGUCUUUUUGUUCUCAACUUUCUCAUGGAUGCAAAUGUUUGCUUUGAUACUACUAUAUCUCCAUUCCAGUUGUCUUCAUUUGUUCUGCUUCAUGGUUUCCAAAAUGUUGCUCAUCUCUAAUUAUUUUGUUUUCUUCCGUCAAUGUGCAGG